GGCACUAGCAGCUGGCACUUUUAAUCUAUGCUAUGAAAUAAAUGGUCCAACAGAAUCUCCUAGUCAACUUAUCUGCCAGAGAUGUCAGUGCACUCUCGAGGGUGCAGGGAAGGAAUCUAGUGAGGAACCUGCUAAGCAAAUCUCUGGAUGUAUGACCGUUGGAGCUAGUGAAAAUAGCACUAGCUGUGCUGCUAAUGGUUAUAACAAUAGCGGUCCCCCUGUCUUGAAAUUCAACAAGACAUCAAAAUCUAGGGAGCAAGGCGAAUUUUCUCAGAGCUCAAAGAGUAGUAUUGGCGAUUAUAGUACUAGCACAACCAUCAGUGAAGAGAGCAACCUAAGCGGCUCUUUUUCGGGGAACAGACCACACAUGUCCA
This 374-nucleotide unclassified non-coding RNA is filed under the name Hevea brasiliensis (rubber tree). Lineage: Eukaryota; Viridiplantae; Streptophyta; Magnoliopsida; Malpighiales; Euphorbiaceae. The record is from RNAcentral.